This is an unclassified non-coding RNA of Papio anubis (olive baboon), 117 nucleotides long. It matches the Rfam family "Metazoan signal recognition particle RNA". From Rfam's summary of the family: The signal recognition particle (SRP) is a universally conserved ribonucleoprotein. NCBI's taxonomy places the organism in Eukaryota, Metazoa, Chordata, Mammalia, Primates, Cercopithecidae. The record is from Ensembl.
GCCGGGUGCGGUGGCUCACGCCUGUAAUCCCAGCACUUUGGGAGGCUGAGGCAGGUGGAUCACUUGAGGUCAGGAGUUCGAGACCGGCCUGACCAACAUGGUGAAACCCUGUCUCUA